This 525-nucleotide ribosomal RNA is filed under the name uncultured bacterium. RNAcentral describes it as "bacterial SSU rRNA". It matches the Rfam family "Bacterial small subunit ribosomal RNA", at positions 28 to 592 of the family's 1533-position model. The record is from RNAcentral.
AGCGAACAUUGGCGGUAGGCUUAACACAUGCAAGUCGAGCGAGGCGUAAUAGUCGAGCGGCGAACGGGUGCGUAAUACAUGGGAAUCUACCUCGAAGUGGGGAGUAACGUCCAGAAAUGGGCGCUAAUACCGCAUAAUCCAUAUUGGGAAAGCGUUGCAGCGCUUUGAGAUGAGCCCAUGGCUGAUUAGCUUGUUGGUGAGGUAACGGCUCACCAAGGCGACGAUCAGUAGCUGGUCUGAGAGGAUGAUCAGCCACACUGGAACUGAGACACGGUCCAGACUCCUACGGGAGGCAGCAGUGGGGAAUCUUGCGCAAUGGGGUCAAGCCUGCACGCAGCCAUACCGCGUGAGUGAUGAAGGUCUUCGGAUUGUAAAGGCUCUUUCGGCGGGGACCGACGAUGACGGUACCCGCAAAAUGAAGGUCACGGCUAACUUCGUGCCAGCAGCCGCGGUAAUACGAAGGUGGCGAAUGUUGCUCGGAUUCACUGGGCCGUAAAGCGUCUGUAGGUGGCUUGUUAAGUUAGA